GCUCCUCUGACGUUAGCGGCGGACGGGUGAGUAACACGUGGAUAACCUACCUAUAAGACUGGGAUAACUUCGGGAAACCGGAGCUAAUACCGGAUAAUAUAUUGAACCGCAUGGUUCAAUAGUGAAAGACGGUUUUGCUGUCACUUAUAGAUGGAUCCGCGCCGCAUUAGCUAGUUGGUAAGGUAACGGCUUACCAAGGCAACGAUGCGUAGCCGACCUGAGAGGGUGAUCGGCCACACUGGAACUGAGACACGGUCCAGACUCCUACGGGAGGCAGCAGUAGGGAAUCUUCCGCAAUGGGCGAAAGCCUGACGGAGCAACGCCGCGUGAGUGAUGAAGGUCUUCGGAUCGUAAAACUCUGUUAUUAGGGAAGAACAAAUGUGUAAGUAACUAUGCACGUCUUGACGGUACCUAAUCAGAAAGCCACGGCUAACUACGUGCCAGCAGCCGCGGUAAUACGUAGGUGGCAAGCGUUAUCCGGAAUUAUUGGGCGUAAAGCGCGCGUAGGCGGUUUUUUAAGUCUGAUGUGAAAGCCCACGGCUCAACCGUGGAGGGUCAUUGGAAACUGGAAAACUUGAGUGCAGAAGAGGAAAGUGGAAUUCCAUGUGUAGCGGUGAAAUGCGCAGAGAUAUGGAGGAACACCAGUGGCGAAGGCGACUUUCUGGUCUGUAACUGACGCUGAUGUGCGAAAGCGUGGGGAUCAAACAGGAUUAGAUACCCUGGUAGUCCACGCCGUAAACGAUGAGUGCUAAGUGUUAGGGGGUUUCCGCCCCUUAGUGCUGCAGCUAACGCAUUAAGCACUCCGCCUGGGGAGUACGACCGCAAG
RNAcentral lists this ribosomal RNA (826 nucleotides) under Staphylococcus epidermidis. RNAcentral's name for it is "bacterial SSU rRNA". It matches the Rfam family "Bacterial small subunit ribosomal RNA", at positions 80 to 892 of the family's 1533-position model. The record is from RNAcentral. Lineage: Bacteria; Bacillati; Bacillota; Bacilli; Caryophanales; Staphylococcaceae.